CUGACUGCUAUCGGAUUGAUACUAAGCCAUGCGAGUUUUUGUAGUAAUACAAGGCAGACGGCUCAGUAACACGUAGUCAAUCUAACCUAUGGACGAGGAUAACCUCGGGAAACUGAGAAUAAUACUCGAUAGAUCAUUAUGCCUGGAACGGUUUAUGGUUAAAAUGAAUUUCGCCAUAGGAUGGGACUGCGGUCUAUCAGCUUGUUGGUGAUGUAAUGGACCACCAAGGCUAUAACAGAUACGGGCUCUGAGAGGAGAAGCCCGGAGAUGGGUACUGAAACACGGACCCAGGCCCUAUGGGGCGCAGCAGGCGAGAAAACUUUGCAAUGUGCGAAAGCACGACAAGGUUAAUCCGAGUGAUUCCUGCUAAAGGAAUCUUUUGUUUGUCAUAAAACCACUAAUGAAUAAGGGGUGGGCAAGUUCUGGUGUCAGCCGCCGCGGUAAAACCAGCACCUCAAGUGGUCAGGAUGAUUAUUGGGCCUAAAGCAUCCGUAGCCGGCUUUGUAAGUUUUCGGUUAAAUCUAUAUGCUCAACAUAUAGGCCGCCGGGAAUACUGCAAAGCUAGGGAGUGGGAGAGGUAGACGGUACUCCGUAGGAAGGGGUAAAAUCCUUUGAUCUAUGGAUGACCACCUGUGGCGAAGGCGGUCUACCAGAACACGUUCGACGGUGAGGGAUGAAAGCUGGGGGAGCAAACCGGAUUAGAUACCCGGGUAGUCCCAGCUGUAAACUAUGCAAACUCAGUGAUGCAUUGGCUUGUGGCCAGUGCAGUGCCGCAGAGAAGUCGUUAAGUUUGCCGCCUGGGAAGUACGUACGCAAGUAUGAAACUUAAAGGAAUUGGCGGGGGAGCA
RNAcentral lists this ribosomal RNA (848 nucleotides) under uncultured Nitrososphaerota archaeon. RNAcentral describes it as "bacterial SSU rRNA". It matches the Rfam family "Archaeal small subunit ribosomal RNA", at positions 23 to 878 of the family's 1478-position model. Lineage: Archaea; Thermoproteati; Nitrososphaerota. The record is from RNAcentral.